This 28-nucleotide non-coding RNA is filed under the name Homo sapiens (human). Lineage: Eukaryota; Metazoa; Chordata; Mammalia; Primates; Hominidae. The record is from RNAcentral.
UGGUCAAGGUUCGCAGGGUUUAGGUGUC